RNAcentral lists this non-coding RNA (29 nucleotides) under Rattus norvegicus (Norway rat). Lineage: Eukaryota; Metazoa; Chordata; Mammalia; Rodentia; Muridae. The record is from RNAcentral.
UCCAUCUUCUGAAUCUUCUUAAAUUUCAU